GUGAGAGCAAUCCAAGAAGUACAUCAGAAACAGAAAAAAAUGUGAGGAUGACCAGAUGCAAGCUGAAUCUCUUCUUGUUGGUGCUACAGCAGCCUUGGGCACGCUUAAUAAGAAGGAUGUAAAAGAUGUGUGGCUGUCCAGGUCUUUUCAAUUGUCAUUAUGACACAACAGUGGGAAAUAUUCAUCUCCAGAGAUCCUGGGUGGCAAUCUGUGUAAACUCACGGAUUCAUUAUUUGAGAAAGCAGUUGCAUAGAAAGUCUGAUGUCAAGAUGAUGUCAGCCAACAAACCAAAACUAUUGAGCUGGCUGAAGUGUUCAUCAAGGGCCUCGAGCAAAUCUCUCAGUGGAAUUUGGCAAUUAAGAAGAUUAAAUCAGUUUGGAAGAAAACCACUGUAA
This 395-nucleotide long non-coding RNA is filed under the name Anas platyrhynchos platyrhynchos (common mallard). RNAcentral describes it as "lncRNA (ENSAPLG00000026653.1)". Lineage: Eukaryota; Metazoa; Chordata; Aves; Anseriformes; Anatidae. The record is from RNAcentral.